AAUGUCGUAACAAGGUUUCCGUAGGUCAAGUUUGAGCCCUGCCCAACAGCGGGUUCAAGCCUCGCUAGUCUCCGCUGGAGGCGACACGCUCAACCUGUGGGAAUGGCCCGUCCCGGGAAAACUCCACAGCCCAACUUCCCUUCGCCCGGAAGUCGGUUUCAGAGGCUCAAUGAGCGUGGGCUGCUGAUCUCAGCGCUUGAGAUAGAGUCCGUCCCAAGCUGGUAACGCUGGGGGCCGAACGGAACCCUUGCGGAAGGAUCAUUACAGAAUUUGACGGCUUUGCGAAGCCAGAUUCUCACCCCCUGUGUAUACACUAUCUCUGUUGCUUUGGGCGGGCGCCUGGCGCCUGCCAGAGGGAAAGCCCUUGAAUCUCUGCAGUCUGAGCACGAUAAAUUAGUCAAAU
RNAcentral lists this unclassified non-coding RNA (403 nucleotides) under plant metagenome. RNAcentral's name for it is "partial contains small subunit ribosomal RNA and internal transcribed spacer 1". The record is from RNAcentral.